RNAcentral lists this ribosomal RNA (251 nucleotides) under uncultured bacterium. RNAcentral's name for it is "partial 16S ribosomal RNA". It matches the Rfam family "Bacterial small subunit ribosomal RNA", at positions 525 to 776 of the family's 1533-position model. The record is from RNAcentral.
ACAUAGGGGGCAAGCGUUAUCCGGAAUUAUUGGGCGUAAAGGGUGCGUAGGCGGCCAUUUAAGUCUUUGGUAUAAGUGCAGUGCUUAACGCUGUGAUGCUAAGGAAACUGAGUGGCUUGAGUGAGAUAGAGGCAAGUGGAAUUCCAUGUGUAGCGGUAAAAUGCGUAAAUAUAUGGAGGAACACCAGUGGCGAAGGCGGCUUGCUGGGUCUACACUGACGCUGAGGCACGAAAGCGUGGGGAGCAAACAGG